This 252-nucleotide ribosomal RNA is filed under the name Faecalibacterium prausnitzii. RNAcentral describes it as "partial 23S ribosomal RNA". It matches the Rfam family "Bacterial large subunit ribosomal RNA", at positions 1336 to 1649 of the family's 2925-position model. The record is from RNAcentral. Lineage: Bacteria; Bacillati; Bacillota; Clostridia; Eubacteriales; Oscillospiraceae.
GCCGAAAGCCUCAGGUUUCUGGAGGAAGGUUCGUCCGCUCCAGGUUAGUCGGGAGCUAAGGUGAGGCCUAACGGCGUAGCCGAUGCACAGACGGUAGAGAUUCCGUCACCACCAAAAGAGUUAAGCACAGGGACACAUUUGAAGUCUCGGAGCCGGGUGUUGGUUCCGGUAGCGAUCGAGGGAAGUUAGUACCGAAGUCUGAGAUGGAAGAUGGCGAGAAAAGCUGUGUGUAUUUCUGCGGUGCCCGUACCG